Molecule: microRNA precursor, 101 nt
Filed under: Gallus gallus (chicken)
Lineage: Eukaryota; Metazoa; Chordata; Aves; Galliformes; Phasianidae
Description: microRNA gga-mir-1659 precursor
Source: miRBase by way of RNAcentral
CACUAGUUUCAUAUCCAGAGGAAGACUUCAUUUUAUUUAAUGUUCUCAUUUCACUGAAUAGGGCAGAAUGAAGGAGUCCCUGCCUGUGGUGAGUGACAGUG